GUUGUAUGGUUAAGUGACUAAGCGUACACGGUGGAUGCCUAGGCAGUCAGAGGCGAUGAAGGACGUACUAACUUGCGAUAAGCGCAGAUAAGGCAGUAAGAGCCGUUUGAGUCUGCGAUUUCCGAAUGGGGAAACCCAACUGCAUAAGCAGUUACUGUUAACUGAAUACAUAGGUUAACAGAGCAAACCGGGGGAACUGAAACAUCUAAGUACCCCGAGGAGAAGAAAUCAACCGAGAUUCCGGUAGUAGCGGCGAGCGAACCUGGAUUAGCCCUUAAGCACUCGGUGAAGUAGGUGAACAAGCUGGAAAGCUUGGCGAUACAGGGUGAUAGCCCCGUAACCGACGCUUCAUCGAGCGUGAAAUCGAGUAGGGCGGGACACGUGAUAUCCUGUCUGAAUAUGGGGGGACCAUCCUCCAAGGCUAAAUACUCCUGACUGACCGAUAGUGAACCAGUACCGUGAGGGAAAGGCGAAAAGAACCCCUGUGAGGGGAGUGAAAUAGAACCUGAAACCGUGUACGUACAAGCAGUAGGAGCACCUUCGUGGUGUGACUGCGUACCUUUUGUAUAAUGGGUCAGCGACUUAUAUUCAGUGGCAAGGUUAACCGUAUAGGGGAGCCGUAGCGAAAGCGAGUCUUAACUGGGCGCUCAGUCUCUGGAUAUAGACCCGAAACCGGGUGAUCUAGCCAUGGGCAGGUUGAAGGUUGAGUAACAUCAACUGGAGGACCGAACCGACUAAUGUUGAAAAAUUAGCGGAUGACUUGUGGCUAGGGGUGAAAGGCCAAUCAAACUCGGAGAUAGCUGGUUCUCCCCGAAAGCUAUUUAGGUAGCGCCUCGGACGAAUACUACUGGGGGUAGAGCACUGUUAAGGCUAGGGGGUCAUCCCGACUUACCAACCCUUUGCAAACUCCGAAUACCAGUAAGUACUAUCCGGGAGACACACGGCGGGUGCUAACGUCCGUCGUGGAGAGGGAAACAACCCAGACCGCCAGCUAAGGUCCCAAAGUAUUGCUAAGUGGGAAACGAUGUGGGAAGGCUCAGACAGCUAGGAUGUUGGCUUAGAAGCAGCCAUCAUUUAAAGAAAGCGUAAUAGCUCACUAGUCGAGUCGGCCUGCGCGGAAGAUGUAACGGGGCUAAGCAAUACACCGAAGCUGCGGCAAUAUCUUUUAGAUAUUGGGUAGGGGAGCGUUCUGUAAGCCGUUGAAGGUGGUCUGUAAGGGCUGCUGGAGGUAUCAGAAGUGCGAAUGCUGACAUGAGUAACGACAAAGGGGGUGAAAAACCUCCUCGCCGGAAGACCAAGGGUUCCUGUCCAACGUUAAUCGGGGCAGGGUGAGUCGACCCCUAAGGUGAGGCCGAAAGGCGUAAUCGAUGGGAAACGGGUUAAUAUUCCCGUACUUCUGACUAUUGCGAUGGGGGGACGGAGAAGGCUAGGUGGGCCAGGCGACGGUUGUCCUGGUUCAAGUGCGUAGGCUUAAGAGUUAGGUAAAUCCGGCUCUUUCUAAGGCUGAGACACGACGUCGAGCUGCUACGGCAGUGAAGUCAUUGAUGCCAUGCUUCCAGGAAAAGCCUCUAAGCUUCAGAUAGUCAGGAAUCGUACCCCAAACCGACACAGGUGGUCGGGUAGAGAAUACCAAGGCGCUUGAGAGAACUCGGGUGAAGGAACUAGGCAAAAUGGUACCGUAACUUCGGGAGAAGGUACGCUCUUGAUGGUGAAGUCCCUUGCGGAUGGAGCUGACGAGAGUCGCAGAUACCAGGUGGCUGCAACUGUUUAUUAAAAACACAGCACUGUGCAAAAUCGCAAGAUGACGUAUACGGUGUGACGCCUGCCCGGUGCCGGAAGGUUAAUUGAUGGGGUUAGCGCAAGCGAAGCUCUUGAUCGAAGCCCCGGUAAACGGCGGCCGUAACUAUAACGGUCCUAAGGUAGCGAAAUUCCUUGUCGGGUAAGUUCCGACCUGCACGAAUGGCGUAAUGAUGGCCACGCUGUCUCCACCCGAGACUCAGUGAAAUUGAAAUCGCUGUGAAGAUGCAGUGUACCCGCGGCUAGACGGAAAGACCCCGUGAACCUUUACUACAGCUUGGCACUGAACAUUGAACCUACAUGUGUAGGAUAGGUGGGAGGCUAUGAAGACGUGACGCUAGUUGCGUUGGAGCCGUCCUUGAAAUACCACCCUUGUAUGUUUGAUGUUCUAACUUAGCCCCAUUAUCUGGGGUGAGGACAGUGCCUGGUGGGUAGUUUGACUGGGGCGGUCUCCUCCCAAAGAGUAACGGAGGAGCACGAAGGUGGGCUAAUCACGGUUGGACAUCGUGAGGUUAGUGCAAUGGCAUAAGCCCGCUUAACUGCGAGAAUGACGGUUCGAGCAGGUGCGAAAGCAGGUCAUAGUGAUCCGGUGGUUCUGUAUGGAAGGGCCAUCGCUCAACGGAUAAAAGGUACUCCGGGGAUAACAGGCUGAUACCGCCCAAGAGUUCAUAUCGACGGCGGUGUUUGGCACCUCGAUGUCGGCUCAUCACAUCCUGGGGCUGAAGUCGGUCCCAAGGGUAUGGCUGUUCGCCAUUUAAAGUGGUACGCGAGCUGGGUUUAGAACGUCGUGAGACAGUUCGGUCCCUAUCUGCCGUGGGCGUUGGAAGAUUGAAGGGGGCUGCUCCUAGUACGAGAGGACCGGAGUGGACGAACCUCUGGUGUUCGGGUUGUGUCGCCAGACGCAUUGCCCGGUAGCUAAGUUCGGAAUUGAUAAGCGCUGAAAGCAUCUAAGCGCGAAGCGAGCCCUGAGAUGAGUCUUCCCUG
Molecule: ribosomal RNA, 2781 nt
Filed under: Vibrio cholerae
Lineage: Bacteria; Pseudomonadati; Pseudomonadota; Gammaproteobacteria; Vibrionales; Vibrionaceae
Description: partial 23S ribosomal RNA
Rfam family: Bacterial large subunit ribosomal RNA
Source: RNAcentral